This 523-nucleotide ribosomal RNA is filed under the name uncultured bacterium. RNAcentral's name for it is "bacterial SSU rRNA". It matches the Rfam family "Bacterial small subunit ribosomal RNA", at positions 355 to 899 of the family's 1533-position model. The record is from RNAcentral.
UGGGGAAUCUUGGACAAUGGGGCAACCCUGAUCCAGCCAUGCCGCGUGAGUGAUGAAGGCCUUAGGGUCGUAAAGCUCUUUCGCCUGUGAAGAUAAUGACGGUAGCAGGUAAAGAAACCCCGGCUAACUCCGUGCCAGCAGCCGCGGUAAUACGGAGGGGUUAGCGUUGUUCGGAAUUACUGGGCGUAAAGGGCGCGUAGGCGGCCCGAUAAGUCCAAGGUGAAAGCCCUCGGCUCAACCGAGGAACUGCCUUGGAUACUGUCGGGCUCGAGGCUGGAAGAGGGUGAUGGAAUUCCCGGUGUAGCGGUGAAAUGCGUAGAUAUUUGGAGGAACACCAGUGGCGAAGGCGGCUCACUGGCUCGAUACUGACGCUGAGGUGCGAAAGUGUGGGGAGCAAACAGGAUUAGAUACCCUGGUAGUCCACACCGUAAACGAUGAAUGCCAGUCGUCGGGUAGCAUGCUAUUCGGUGACACACCUAACGGAUUAAGCAUUCCGCCUGGGGAGUACGGUCGCAGAUUAAAA